RNAcentral lists this transfer RNA (72 nucleotides) under Protonibea diacanthus. RNAcentral's name for it is "tRNA-Asn". Lineage: Eukaryota; Metazoa; Chordata; Actinopteri; Sciaenidae. The record is from RNAcentral.
AGAUGGAUGCUCGCUGGUUUGGGCGCUUAUGUGUCAUCUAAGAGUUUGUCCGAUCGUUACAGUCCUGUCUAG